This 895-nucleotide ribosomal RNA is filed under the name uncultured archaeon. RNAcentral's name for it is "bacterial SSU rRNA". It matches the Rfam family "Archaeal small subunit ribosomal RNA", at positions 21 to 904 of the family's 1478-position model. The record is from RNAcentral.
CCCGACUGCUAUUUGGGUGAGGAUAAGCCAUGCGAGUUGAAUGGGAUACCUAAAUUUCCCAUGGCAAACUGCUCAGUAACACAUGAUCAACUUACCCUAUAGAGAAAAAUAACCUCGGGAAACUGAGGAUAAUAUUUCAUAGUUGAAUAGGCUUGGAAAAGUUUUUCAAUAAAAGGGAUAAAAAAAAUGGUUUUUAUCUGCUAUAGGAUAGGAUCGUGGACGAUUAUGGUUGUUGGUGAGGUAACGGCUCACCAAGCCGAUAAUCGAUAGGGGCCGUGAGAGCGGGAGCCCCGAGAUGGGUACUGAGACAACGACCCAGGCCUUAUGAGGCGCAGCAGGCGCGAAACCUCCGCAAUACACGAAAGUGUGACGGGGUUACCCAAAGUGUUCUAUUUAGAACUGUGGUAGGUGAGUAAUGUUCCCUACUAGAAAGGAGAGGGCAAGGCUGGUGCCAGCCGCCGCGGUAAAACCAGCUCUUCAAGUGGUCGGGAUAAUAUUGGGCUUAAAGUGUCCGUAGCCGGUUUAGUAAGUUCCUGGUAAAAUCGGGUAGCUUAACUAUCUAUAUGCUAGGAAUACUGCUAUACUAGAGGGCGGGAGAGGUCUGAGUACUACAGGGGUAGGGGUGAAAUCUUAUAAUCCUUGUAGGACCACCAGUGGCGAAGGCGUCAGACUGGAACGCGCCUGACGGUGAGGGACGAAAGCCAGGGGAGCGAACCGGAUUAGAUACCCGGGUAGUCCUGGCCGUAAACGAUGCAUACUAGGUGAUGGCACGGCCAUGAGCCGUGUCAGUGCCGUAGGGAAACCGUUAAGUGUGCCGCCUGGGAAGUACGGUCGCAAGGCUAAAACUUAAAGGAAUUGGCGGGGGAGCACCACAAGGGGUGAAGCCUGCGGUUCA